RNAcentral lists this small RNA (1121 nucleotides) under Pan troglodytes (chimpanzee). RNAcentral describes it as "retained intron". Lineage: Eukaryota; Metazoa; Chordata; Mammalia; Primates; Hominidae. The record is from RNAcentral.
UUUCGGCGUCGGCCUAGGUGCGCUGCGAGCGCGCGCGGACCGCGCACAGGCGGCGGAACCGGUAUGGGCCCGCCUGGCCCUGGGCGCCGCGCCGCACGAGCACCAACCUAGAGCCAGGACUGAAGCUUCAAGAUGGCUGACCAGGACCCUGCGGGCAUCAGCCCCCUCCAGCAAAUGGUGGCCUCAGGCGCCGGGGCUGUGGUUACCUCUCUCUUCAUGACACCCCUGGACGUGGUGAAGGUUCGCCUGCAGUCUCAGCGGCCCUCCAUGGCCAGCGAGCUGAUGCCUUCCUCCAGACUGUGGAGCCUCUCCUAUACCAAAUGGAAGUGCCUCCUGUACUGCAAUGGUGUCCUGGAGCCUCUGUACCUGUGCCCAAAUGGUGCCCGCUGUGCCACCUGGUUUCAAGACCCUACCCGCUUCACUGGCACCAUGGAUGCCUUCGUGAAGAUCGUGAGGCACGAGGGCACCAGGACCCUCUGGAGCGGCCUCCCCGCCACCCUGGUGAUGACUGUGCCAGCUACCGCCAUCUACUUCACUGCCUAUGACCAACUGAAGGCCUUCCUGUGUGGUCGAGCCCUGACCUCUGACCUCUACGCACCCAUGGUGGCUGGCGCGCUGGCCCGCCGUGAGCAUAGUCUUGGGCCUUUGACCUCCCUCUGUCCCCACCUCUGCCCAAGCCCAGUCAGUCCCAGCUCCCAGCCCCAACCUCUGCCAGCCUGGGGAUGGGGGGGUGUUCUAGGUCCCCAGACCUGGGACAGCAGGUAGGUGAUGCCAUGUAAGACCUGUGACCUCACCUCUCCCCAUUGUCACCCCCAAUCCCCACACAGUGGGCACCGUGACUGUGAUCAGCCCCCUGGAGCUUAUGCGGACAAAGCUGCAGGCUCAGCAUGUGUCGUACCGGGAGCUGGGUGCCUGUGUUCGAACUGCAGUGGCUCAGGGUGGCUGGCGCUCACUGUGGCUGGGCUGGGGCCCCACUGCCCUUCGAGAUGUGCCCUUCUCAGGUAGGCACCCAAGCUGCAGGGGGUGGGUGAGGGAACCCUGGGGUGAUGCACAAAGGGUCUACAGCCAAGUCCCAGCUUUGUGACUAGUGACCAUGAAGUUACUUAGCUUUUCUGAGCCAU